Molecule: ribosomal RNA, 60 nt
Filed under: Alternaria alternata
Lineage: Eukaryota; Fungi; Ascomycota; Dothideomycetes; Pleosporales; Pleosporaceae
Also listed under: 19 other names
Description: partial 28S ribosomal RNA
Rfam family: Eukaryotic large subunit ribosomal RNA
Source: RNAcentral
UUUUGACCUCGGAUCAGGUAGGGAUACCCGCUGAACUUAAGCAUAUCAAUAAGCGGAGGA